GUGUCAGCCGCCGCGGUAAGACGUAGGGGGCGAGCGUUAUCCGGAUUCACUGGGCGUAAAGGGCGCGCAGGCGGCUACGUAAGUCCGGCGUGAAAUCCCAUGGCUUAACUGUGGAACUGCGUCGGAUACUGCGUUGGCUUGAGGAUGGUAGAGGCCAUUAGAACUAGCGGUGUAGCGGUGAAAUGCGCAGAUAUCGCUAGGAAUGCCGGUGGCGAAGGCGGAUGGCUGGGCCACUCCUGACGCUGAGGCGCGAAAGCUAGGGGAGCGAACCGGAUUAGAAACCCCAGUAGUCC
RNAcentral lists this ribosomal RNA (293 nucleotides) under uncultured bacterium. RNAcentral's name for it is "partial 16S ribosomal RNA". It matches the Rfam family "Bacterial small subunit ribosomal RNA", at positions 505 to 796 of the family's 1533-position model. The record is from RNAcentral.